This 459-nucleotide ribosomal RNA is filed under the name uncultured bacterium. RNAcentral describes it as "partial 16S ribosomal RNA". It matches the Rfam family "Bacterial small subunit ribosomal RNA", at positions 338 to 795 of the family's 1533-position model. The record is from RNAcentral.
CCUACGGGGGCAGCAGUGAGGAAUAUUUGUCAAUGGACGAGAGUCUGAACCAGCCAAGUAGCGUGAAGGAUGACUGCCCUAUGGGUUGUAAACUUCUUUUAUAAAGGAAUAAAACGAGGCACGUGUGCCUUUUUGCAUGUACUUUAUGAAUAAGGAUCGGCUAACUCCGUGCCAGCAGCCGCGGUAAUACGGAGGAUCCGAGAGUUAUCCGGAUUUAUUGGGUUUAAAGGGAGCGUAGAUGGGUUGUUAAGUCAGUUGUGAAAGUUUGCGGGUCAACCGUAAAAUUGCAAUUGAUAAUGGCAGUCGUGAGUACAGUUGAGGUAGGCGGAAUUCGUGGUGUAGCGGUGAAAUGCUUAGAUAUCACGAAGAACCCCGAUUGCGAAGGCAGCUUACUAAACUGUGACUGACAUUGAUGCUCGAAAGUGUGGGUAUCAAACAGGAUUAGAUACCCCUGUAGUC